UGUGAGUUCAUUGUUUUGCUCGUGUUUUCAUUCAAAUCUAGGUAUGUUUUGUAAUAGAAUGAGUUUUGGUUGUGAGUUUUCUUUGUAGAUUGACUACAAUCUGUAAAUGUUAGAAAUCCCUUUACUAUUGAAUAUCUUGCAUGUUUAAUUUAUAGGGCCUGAAUUUAAGUUUUCUUUGUAUCUAUUCAUUUUACUCAAGUUUUCCUAUUUUAGGGCCUGGAUUUAAGUUACACUUUAACAAUAUUCCAUAUAUCAUCUCUUCGAUUUUUAAUUUGUGUUGCAUAAAUCAUCUCUUCUAUAAUUUUAAUUGAUUUUUGGCUAACUUUUGUAAGAUUCUACAUUUUUGUUGUAAUGACGCACAUACUCUGUUUUUUUAAUAUGAAAAAUCACACAUAUUAAUUUUUCUUGUGUUGGCAUUAUAGAAUGGAAGAACCACAAUUUUCGGUUACUUUGAGGAAUGGGUUUGAUUCACAGUACAAAACCCACUACUUGGUACUUCUUAUCCGAUCCUUUAUUAUCUUAAUCUUUAUGUAUUGAAAUAAACGUAAUUUCCAUACUAUGUGUUAAUGCAAUGUAUUAACUAUUUCCAUGUCUAUGUAGUUGAUUCCAAAAUCUUUCCAUACACAAUAUGAAGACUACUUCAGCCAGAGCAUGCAAUUCAGAUUCCUACCAAAUCUAAUUUUCUCUAUAACCGUGGAGAAAAUUCACUUUGCCAACAGGAACAUGCUCAUGUGGGCAUUGACAAAAGGGGUUCAAACGUGUGUUGAAAAAUUGAAGCUCUGCAACAAAGAUCGUCUAACAUUUACUCUAGAUUUGGCAGAAA
This 823-nucleotide long non-coding RNA is filed under the name Salvia miltiorrhiza (redroot sage). RNAcentral describes it as "long non-coding RNA (SMIL_LNC007662)". Lineage: Eukaryota; Viridiplantae; Streptophyta; Magnoliopsida; Lamiales; Lamiaceae. The record is from RNAcentral.